Molecule: unclassified non-coding RNA, 391 nt
Filed under: soil metagenome
Description: partial contains 5.8S ribosomal RNA, internal transcribed spacer 2, and large subunit ribosomal RNA
Rfam family: 5.8S ribosomal RNA (bases 1-122)
Source: RNAcentral
GAUGAAGAACGUAGCGAAAUGCGAUACUUGGUGUCAAUUGCAGAAUCCCGUGAACCAUCGAGUCUUUGAACGCAAGUUGCGCCCGAAGCCAUUAGGCCGAGGGCACGCCUGCCUGGGUGUCACACGUCGUUGCCCCCCCAUCUACUCCUUCGGGAUUGCGGGGGGCGGAUGAUGGCCUCCCGUGCGCCUCGUCGCGCGGUUGGCAUAAAUGCCAAGUCCUCAGCGACGCACGCCACGACAAUCGGUGGUUGCGAAACCUCGGUUGCCCGUCGUGUGCGGUCGUCGCGCAUCGAGGGCUCGAAAAAAUUGCCGGGCUCCGGCUCGGCUUUCAACGCGACCCCAGGUCAGGCGGGGUUACCCGCUGAAUUUAAGCAUAUCAAUAAGCGGAGGA